Molecule: long non-coding RNA, 537 nt
Organism: Rhinopithecus roxellana (golden snub-nosed monkey)
Lineage: Eukaryota; Metazoa; Chordata; Mammalia; Primates; Cercopithecidae
Exons: 3
Source: RefSeq, a predicted model, not a curated record
GUCAUAGCGACUUUUGGGAUAGUUUGCUAUCGACAAAGGGGGACAAAGUCAAGGGGUGAAGGGAAAGGAGGGCCAAGCAGAGCCUCCACGACCCUCGGCUGCCUCCUCACCAGCUCCCCCUCCCCCCAAGUCCGGUAAGAAGUUGGGCCAAGCUGGAAGGGAUUGACCGGGUUGCUUGUCUGGAGAUGGAGCCACUAUGGGCAGGGCCUGGGCGCCUGGAGUCGGGCAUGAAAGGAAAUAGCGCCUCAUCGCUCUUAUCUAAGCCCAGAGGUCCACUUCGCUUGAAAAGAUCGAGAAUGGGGGAGGGGAUUGACACUCGCUUGCAGACAUCAACAGUUUCCAGAAAACUCCGUUCAAUUCCUUCACCACGAACCCACCAACCAAGGAACUGGCGAGACCCACCAGCCAACCAGUAGAACACAGACCCGGUUUGUCUUUUGACAACCGAGUGGAACUGCCGGGGCCGGCGCCUGCCCUGCGGGUCCCCUCCCUUGGCAGAGAAGAAAACCAAAUAAACCUUGAACAGCCUUGGCUUCG